GUGGCUGUGGCUCAGUGUUAAGAGUGCUCUCCUAGCAUGUGCGAGGCCCUGAGUUUGAUCCUCAGCACCCCG
Molecule: transfer RNA, 72 nt
Filed under: Marmota monax (woodchuck)
Lineage: Eukaryota; Metazoa; Chordata; Mammalia; Rodentia; Sciuridae
Description: tRNA.Ala
Source: RNAcentral